RNAcentral lists this ribosomal RNA (256 nucleotides) under uncultured bacterium. RNAcentral's name for it is "partial 16S ribosomal RNA". It matches the Rfam family "Bacterial small subunit ribosomal RNA", at positions 98 to 354 of the family's 1533-position model. The record is from RNAcentral.
CGGGACGGGUGAGUAACGCGUGGAUAACCUGCCGUAUGCAGGGGGAUACCAACUGGAAACAGUUGCUAAUACCGCAUAAGCGCACAGUACCGCAUGGUAUAGUGUGAAAAGAUUUAUCGGCAUACGAUGGAUCCGCGUCCGAUUAGCCAGUUGGCGGGGUAGAAGCCCACCAAAGCGACGAUCGGUAGCCGGCCUGAGAGGGCGGACGGCCACAUUGGGACUGAGACACGGCCCAAACUCCUACGGGAGGCAGCAG